This 156-nucleotide microRNA precursor is filed under the name Pelobates cultripes (western spadefoot toad). Lineage: Eukaryota; Metazoa; Chordata; Amphibia; Anura; Pelobatidae. The record is from RNAcentral.
CUGACACAUUCCAGCCAAUCAGCAGCAGACCCUCCCUCCCAGGCCCUCCCACCUCCUGGACAGCAUCCAUUUUGAAGCUGCAUUCUUAGUGAGCUGUCCAAGAGGUGGGAGGGUCUGGGAGGGAGGGUCUGCUGCUGAUUGGCUGGAAUGUGUCAG